UGAUGAAGGCUUUUUGACUCUCUCAGAGGGCUAGUCCUAAAGCUGAUUUGAUUCAGAAGAAACUACAGCUCAAAGGAAUGUGUAUGUGUUGGCAUUUCCUUGUCGUGGAAAGUCCCAGCCAGUGAUCAAUUAAAAUUGAAUUGAACAGUUCUGAUAUGUGCUCUGGCCAUGAUGUGCUGCCCCACUACCGGUCUAAAACCAAUGAGACCAAACAACAAGGGACUGAAGCCUCCAAAACUGCUGGAAGUACUGAGGAACUCCUGAGUGCCCAUGCCAGCAAUCUGCAACUUUGACUUCCCCUCCCCAGGUGGAACAAGCCCCAGCUGCUGUGCAUCUGCUCCCAGUGCUCUCAGUGGGGCCCAGAAACCAUGGAGCCAAGUGACCAUGAACUAAACCUCUGGAACUGAAAGCCAAAACCUACGAACAAAGGAUAUCAUGUAACUUAAAGAAGAUUUCCAAAGCAUUUCAUUUUGGCCUUUUCAAGAGGCUGAAACAUGGGACCUUCUACUUCAACUAUCAUCUCAGCUUCACUUUUCCUGAUCUAUAAAGAACAAGGAUGGGGAAUGAGCACAAAAGAGGCCAGACUUAACUGGAAUGAAGUGUUCAUGUUGAGGGACUAUUUCUGGAUUCUAUAUAUUUCCAUACUCUUCCAACUUCAUUCAGGCAGGACCUCCAUUAGCCCUUUUCUCCAAGUAACCAGUGAGGA
This 706-nucleotide long non-coding RNA is filed under the name Heterocephalus glaber (naked mole-rat). Its description in RNAcentral is "lncRNA (ENSHGLG00000043354.1)". Lineage: Eukaryota; Metazoa; Chordata; Mammalia; Rodentia; Bathyergidae. The record is from RNAcentral.